This is a long non-coding RNA of Spinacia oleracea (spinach), 1098 nucleotides long. RefSeq lists it as uncharacterized. The transcript is spliced from 3 exons. Lineage: Eukaryota; Viridiplantae; Streptophyta; Magnoliopsida; Caryophyllales; Amaranthaceae. The record is from RefSeq and is a predicted model, not a curated record.
UCAUGCCUUGAUCUCCAAGCCAUUUUCCUUCUCAUUCACUCUACUUGACUCUACAAAUCAGAUACAAUUUCAACUAAAUUCCAACCAAAAAAAAAAAAUCAAAUUUCAAUUUCAUUUUCUCAGUUUCUUUGAUUCGAACCAUCUCCCACCACCAUCAGUCACCACCAACAACCACUGCCACCAUUAACCGCCCCACCUCCCAGCUUCGUUGGCCGACCACCACCGCCCUACCACCAUUACUCAUCCCACCUACCUUCGUCGCCGGCAAGAACCCGACCCAAAUCCACCACUCAAACUCCCCUGCUUCCUGGUUUUCGCACCCCUCCCCUGUCUUUUCUGUCCUUCGCGUCCAUCCGCCGGCAAGGCGGUGCCGUCGCGCUCCACCACUCCCUUUGCCGCUCUCUCUCUCCCUCCUCCUCAAUCGACCACCGUACACCCUUCGUCGCUCUCCCUCCUCAAUCGACUCCCCUGCCAUCUCUCCUCCGCGCUCAGCCACCGCGCCUCCGUUCUGGCGUGCCGCCUCCUCCGCGCACAGACCCGCCGUCCCUUAUUCCUUUCCUCCUUCCUCUGUCGUAAUUCGGGCUCGGAGCUCAGGAAGAACGAACCAACGAAAAGGCUUAGCAAAUCGCGGAAUUGAGGUACUGCUGGGGACCACGGAAACGAGUAGUGGCGAGGAUUUCACUAUUACCAAGUUCACCUAAGUUAAUGUUAAGUUGUAACAAGUUUAAGUAAAGAUUCUUGAUUAAGUUACGUACUUUUAUUAAAGAAUUGAGAAGGAUGAUUAUGUUAAUUUUGGAGUUUAAUAGCUUAUGAUUGAUAGUUGCCUUGUAAUUCCCAAGAGGGAGUUACGGCAGGUAAUGUCCCGAUCGAAUUAGGUUAAUUCCGCUGCUAAUUAUGAUUAAAUAAUUGAAUUAGAGGUCGGGGUGUUACAAUUAUAGUCUUAUUUCCUUAUUCGAAUGUAAAGUACUUUUCAUAUUACCCUCAUUUGGGGAAUUUUUUUUUGAAAAAACUUCUCAUAUUCCCUUCUCCAUGCACUUUUAUUCCUUUUUACAUGUACUAUAUUCUACGAAUACUUUCUAAUCAUCAAUGUACUAUUAC